GACAGAGGGUGCAAACGUUGUUCGGAAUUACUGGGCGUAAAGCGCGUGUAGGCGGUCUUGUAAGUCGGAUGUGAAAGCCCCGGGCUCAACCUGGGAAUUGCAUUGGAGACUGCAAGGCUUGAAUCUGGCAGAGGGGGGUAGAAUUCCACGUGUAGCAGUGAAAUGCGUAGAGAUGUGGAGGAACACCGAUGGCGAAGGCAGCCCCCUGGGUCAAGAUUGACGCUCAUGCACGAAAGCGUGGGGAGCAAACAGG
This 253-nucleotide ribosomal RNA is filed under the name uncultured bacterium. RNAcentral describes it as "partial 16S ribosomal RNA". It matches the Rfam family "Bacterial small subunit ribosomal RNA", at positions 524 to 776 of the family's 1533-position model. The record is from RNAcentral.